GUCUAUCAUGCAGUCGAGCGACAGACGAGGAGCUUGCUCCUCUGACGUUAGCGGCGGACGGGUGAGUAACACGUGGAUAACCUACCUAUAAGACUGGGAUAACUUCGGGAAACCGGAGCUAAUACCGGAUAAUAUAUUGAACCGCAUGGUUCAAUAGUGAAAGACGGUUUUGCUGUCACUUAUAGAUGGAUCCGCGCCGCAUUAGCUAGUUGGUAAGGUAACGGCUUACCAAGGCAACGAUGCGUAGCCGACCUGAGAGGGUGAUCGGCCACACUGGAACUGAGACACGGUCCAGACUCCUACGGGAGGCAGCAGUAGGGAAUCUUCCGCAAUGGGCGAAAGCCUGACGGAGCAACGCCGCGUGAGUGAUGAAGGUCUUCGGAUCGUAAAACUCUGUUAUUAGGGAAGAACAAAUGUGUAAGUAACUAUGCACGUCUUGACGGUACCUAAUCAGAAAGCCACGGCUAACUACGUGCCAGCAGCCGCGGUAAUACGUAGGUGGCAAGCGUUAUCCGGAAUUAUUGGGCGUAAAGCGCGCGUAGGCGGUUUUUUAAGUCUGAUGUGAAAGCCCACGGCUCAACCGUGGAGGGUCAUUGGAAACUGGAAAACUUGAGUGCAGAAGAGGAAAGUGGAAUUCCAUGUGUAGCGGUGAAAUGCGCAGAGAUAUGGAGGAACACCAGUGGCGAAAGGCGACUUUCUGGUCUGUAACUGACGCUGAUGUGCGAAAGCGUGGGGAUCAAACAGGAUUAGAUACCCUGGGUAGUCCCCGCCGUAAACGAUGAGUGCUAGUGUUAGGGGGGUUUCCGCCCCCUU
This 813-nucleotide ribosomal RNA is filed under the name Staphylococcus epidermidis. Its description in RNAcentral is "bacterial SSU rRNA". It matches the Rfam family "Bacterial small subunit ribosomal RNA", at positions 47 to 842 of the family's 1533-position model. The record is from RNAcentral. Lineage: Bacteria; Bacillati; Bacillota; Bacilli; Caryophanales; Staphylococcaceae.